This 402-nucleotide ribosomal RNA is filed under the name uncultured bacterium. RNAcentral describes it as "bacterial SSU rRNA". It matches the Rfam family "Bacterial small subunit ribosomal RNA", at positions 355 to 774 of the family's 1533-position model. The record is from RNAcentral.
UGGGGAAUAUUGGACAAUGGGGGAAACCCUGAUCCAGCAACGCCGCGUGAGUGAAGAAGGCCUUAGGGUUGUAAAGCUCCUUCCCCCGCGAAGAUAAUGACGGUAGCGGGAGAAGAAGCCCCGGCUAACUCCGUGCCAGCAGCCGCGGUAAUACGGAGGGGGCUAGCGUUGUUCGGAAUUACUGGGCGUAAAGCGUACGUAGGCGGAUGCGCAAGUUGGGGGUGAAAUCCCGGGGCUUAACCUCGGAAUUGCCCUCAAAACUGCACGUCUUGAGACCGAGAGAGGUAAGGGGAAUUCCUAGUGUAGAGGUGAAAUUCGUAGAUAUUAGGAAGAACACCAGUGGCGAAGGCGCCUUACUGGCUCGGUACUGACGCUGAGGUACGAAAGCGUGGGGAGCAAACA